ACUUUGUAGUUUCUUAACAUUCAGUUUAACAACAGUCAUCUGCUAAAAAAAUCGCGCUUCAUGUAAUCUAGUUUCAUUUUGACAACAUCAUACUACUGGUUUCUUUUAAUGAAAUCUUAGUGCGGGUACAAAAGUCAAUAGCAAUGAGGGUUUUAUGGAUCAUGAUAUUUUUAGCCAUUUGCUUUAGCAGCUUCCUGAUCUGCAACAUCGAAUGCGCCGCACCAGGAAUAAAGCAGAAAGCGAAGUACAAUUCAUCAAAACCUUUUCCCAAAUCUACAACAAAAGCCCACAAACAUCCUCUAAAAAAGAACGAAACGGUUGUUGACAAUUUUAACGCUGAUAUUGUGAAGGCCCAUGAUCCUAAAAAGAAACAGAAGCAAACCAUUGAUCCGCACUGUCGGUAUUGUCAUUAAAUUAUUUAUGUGGGAGGAAAUAUGCAAUAUAGCUAGUCGGUUUUGCAACCGUACCUGUCAAAUCUGAUGUCAUCUUCUUAAAAAAGUCGAAACCGGUAUCGUUCCUCGCGCCUUAUGCAUGGUUGUUGGAUGGAAAAUUCCGGCCGCUGUGCUUGUGAAGAAACUGGAAACCUGUACGGCAAUGUAAAUACGAGCAGAACCUGUUUAUUUUAAUUUAAGAUUGUAUGAACAUGUUUCCUUAAGCGUACCGGCAGGAAACCGAAUUACUAUAAAAUAAAAUAACCGAAGUCGGAUGACAGGUUUUGGUGGUCGUCUUUUUUAAGAUGCCUUCAAUUUUUCUUGCAUGUCCAUUGUUCCAGUAAUGUCCGCAAAAUAAUGUCAUUGAUCCAACAUACGAUUUAUUGCAAUGAUAUGAGUGAAAUCUAGUAUACAAAGAACAGCGACUGCUCCAAGAGAAAUCGAGCAAAAUACACCAAAAACCUGGAAGCAAAAACACUUUAUAAAAGUAUAAAAGACAAAAUCUAAAAUCUGCCGUCAUAAAAAUCGUACUAUGGAAGCCACGAAAGCGAUCCACUGCUUCGUAUUACUGGUAUCAUGAGAGCUCUCAUUGAUAAACACCGAUGUGUUAUGUAGAAUUCGGUACUGAUACUCCGGAUCCGGGACAAUUUGCUCAAUAAAUCGCGCAGACGAGGCCAUUAACAGUAUCAUCCAUAUCAGGGAAUGCACGCAGAUCUGUGCAUGAAAACUGCAUGAUUACAUAGUGUUCACUGAAUCCUUUAGUUCGUCCAUAAUCAGAAUGCCAUGGAUCUUACGAUAAUUUUAAGCGUUGGUUCCGUUAGCGAGAAGACUUCAUAGAGAUGCUGUGCUACCAUAAUAAAAGCAACCGGAAGUACAAACGACCCGACAAUGGUUGUUACUUCAUGGAAGACUAAACUGUUUCCCCAGUUCGGCUGGAGGUCCUUCAUGUUGCGACCACCGUGCAGUCUGUCAGGAUCGCUACGAAUGUAAAUUCCUUUUCCAACUUCCACUGAUAUUAAAGCGCACCAGACAAACAUCUGUAAGAAAACACUUAAGAAGCACCGAAAGCUGUUGUUAAGUUCCCGGGGUAGUUAUGUCUUUCCGAGGUCCAGUAGUGCUACCGUUGCAAAGCUACCUACAAUGGAGGCAACGGACAGAAUUCCUAAUAAACUGCGAGCAAACUUCUCCCUUAUCCCAAGCAUGAAUCUUGUUACUGCUAAAAGCCAGUGUGUGCGUAUUCUUGUUGCAACUGUUCAAAAACGUGGUAAGUUGUAAAAUCCACUUGCAAAUUAUGACGGCUAAGCUGUCACGGAAAUACUACAAUUCUUUGAUACCGUAUUUUUUUUCAUGUAACAAGGUUUUCUGCCAACUUGCAUGAGUAACGCCGUGAGUAAACUAUUUCAAAAUAAAAAAAAAUAUUUGUUUACUUUUAAUUCCCGCACAAAAUCUAAUGUGAAAACAGCAGCAUCGCCUGGAUACUUGUACAUUAUGAACUUGUACAAAAGUUUAAGAUAGGUAACAAAAUAAUAACUGACUGACAACAUGCAGUAUCAUAUCAAUAAAGAAACCAAAAUAAUAUUAUUAAUGUUCUUCCCUCACGAAAGAGUCUGGAAUGCUUUUACGUUCUUUUUUACGUUUUAAGUUUUUACCUUGGAACGUUUUUACGUGAGGCUGAUUAGCGUGGACUUUCGUUUAAUCGUGUUCCCAAAUUUCAACGCAAUCAGGUCACCUUCUAACGACUGCUGAAAGCGGAUCCAGGUCCUAAUUUUAGUAAUGGAUUUAUGGGAUGGGUAUUUGUUUCGCUGGAAUACUGAUAUUAAUUGUGGCUUUCAAUCCGACCACUCUCGCUUUAAAAAACCAGUCCAAGGUCCUAAGAAGCGAGAUCCAAAACAAUUUUCGCUUUAGUCUACCGGCGCACUUGCGCAUUUAUGGACCGAUUAACUCCAGUGUCACUGACAGCCUUCCUGUACUGACUGGACUACCAGAUCCCCAUGUUAUGGUCAACAAAAAUCAGAGGCAUUGCGAGUUCAUUGAAUAUCUGCCCCCGCGUUCCCUAGGUAUGUUGGAAAAUGUGUGGAUUUGUAAAUGCUGGCUGAUUGAGUACAACAAAGGCGGCACCAUCGCGGCAGCCAAACUUCCAUAUGCUGUCACUGCCGAAUGGAUUAAUGGUCAGACACUAAAUACGGGACUGGUGCUGAUUGAUGCCACCGUGUGCUCGCCACGUCCGUGCUGCUCCAGGAAAACGUUGUCCAGACGUAAACGAAGUGUGUGACGAAUUCAGGAUGAUGAUGAUGAGUAUGAAUACAUCUACGAGGACACAACCGACAGCAACGGCUUACGCGCCGCACCGGUGAAGAAGAAAGUCAAGAAAGCGGUAGCAAAAGCUAAAGCAGUCGCAACCGGGGGCGGCCUUCCACUUGCAGCUAUUCUUGGGAUCGUCUUUGGAAUCGUAGGGGGGAUUUUGUUAAUCUGCGGAGGAAUUCUGGGAUACUGUUAUUAUCUUUACAAGCAAGAAAUUGCUCGGAUACGUUUCAGAAACCGAAUGAUUGACAAGCAUAACAAAAAAGUUGCUGCGCUUCGUGCUGCACAACGAGUGUAACUAUUCCGUUUCAACUGCUUCUUAAAUUUUUAUCGUGUAAAAUUGACUGUUUUGAUUAUGGAAGUGUUUUGUGUUGAAACUUCAGCUUUUGCUCUCGUUGAGAAACGUUCCUGU
RNA transcript from Paramacrobiotus metropolitanus, 3144 nucleotides. RefSeq lists it as uncharacterized. The transcript has 6 exons. NCBI's taxonomy places the organism in Eukaryota, Metazoa, Tardigrada, Eutardigrada, Parachela, Macrobiotidae. The record is from RefSeq and is a predicted model, not a curated record.